UACGUAGGUGGCAAGCGUUAUCCGGAAUUAUUGGGCGUAAGGGGAGCGUAGGCGGUCUUGCAAGUCUAUGGUUAAAAUUCGGGGCUUAACCCCGUCUUGCCAUAGAAACUGUAAGACUUGAGUACAGGAGAGGUUAGUGGAAUUCCAUGUGUAGCGGUAAAAUGCGUAGAUAUAUGGAGGAACACCAGUGGCGAAAGCGGCUAACUGGUCUGUAACUAAUGCUAAGGCGCGAAAGCGUGGGGAGCAAAUAGG
Molecule: ribosomal RNA, 252 nt
Filed under: uncultured bacterium
Lineage: Bacteria
Description: partial 16S ribosomal RNA
Rfam family: Bacterial small subunit ribosomal RNA
Source: RNAcentral